This 254-nucleotide ribosomal RNA is filed under the name uncultured bacterium. RNAcentral describes it as "partial 16S ribosomal RNA". It matches the Rfam family "Bacterial small subunit ribosomal RNA", at positions 524 to 776 of the family's 1533-position model. The record is from RNAcentral.
UACGUAGGUGACAAGCGUUGUCCGGAUUUACUGGGCGUAAAGCGCGCGCAGGCGGCCUUUUAAGUCUGCUGGUGAAAUGCCGGGGCUCAACCCCGUGCCCGCCACAGAUACUGGGAGGCUGGAGACGAGUAGAGGCAAGCGGAAUUCCGGGUGUAGCGGUGGAAUGCGUAGAGAUCCGGAAGAACACCGGAGGCGAAGGCGGCUUGCUGGGCUUGGUCUGACGCUGAGGCGCGAAAGCGUGGGGAGCGAACAGG